GAUGAACGCUGGCGGCGUGCCUAAUACAUGCAAGUUGAGCGAUGACGCUUGGUGCUCGCGCCCAUUUGAAGAGCAGCGGACGGGUGAGUAACGCGUGGGGCAUCUGCCUUUGAGCGGGGGACAACAUUUGGAAACGAAUGCUAAUACCGCAUAACAACUUUAAACAUAAGUUUUAAGUUUGAAAGAUGCCAUUGCAUCACUCAAAGAUGAUCCCGCGUUGUAUUAGCUAGUUGGUGAGGUAAAGGCUCACCAAGGCGAUGAUACAUAGCCGACCUGAGAGGGUGAUCGGCCACAAUGGGACUGAGACACGGCCCAAAAUCCUACGGGAGGCAGCAGUAGGGAAACUUCGGCAAUGGACGAAAGUCUGACCGAGCAACGCCGCGGGAGGGAAGAAGGUUUUCGGAUCGUAAAACUCUGUUGGUAGAGAAGAACGUUGGGGAGAGUGGAAAGCUCAUCAAGUGACGGUAACUACCCAGAAAGGGACGGCUAACUACGUG
RNAcentral lists this ribosomal RNA (497 nucleotides) under uncultured bacterium. RNAcentral describes it as "partial 16S ribosomal RNA". It matches the Rfam family "Bacterial small subunit ribosomal RNA", at positions 28 to 507 of the family's 1533-position model. The record is from RNAcentral.